GUCCACGCCGUAAACGUUGGGCACUAGGUGUGGGGCUCUAUCGACGGGUUCCGUGCCGUAGCUAACGCAUUAAGUGCCCCGCCUGGGGAGUACGGCCGCAAGGCUAAAACUCAAAGGAAUUGACGGGGCCCGCACAAGCGGCGGAGCAUGUGGCUUAAUUCGAUGCAACGCGAAGAACCUUACCUGGGUUGAACUAUGUGGGAAAAGCCGUAGAGAUACGGUGUCCUUCGGGGCCCACGAUAGGUGGUGCAUGGCUGUCGU
Molecule: ribosomal RNA, 261 nt
Filed under: uncultured bacterium
Lineage: Bacteria
Description: partial 16S ribosomal RNA
Rfam family: Bacterial small subunit ribosomal RNA
Source: RNAcentral